RNAcentral lists this long non-coding RNA (2645 nucleotides) under Capra hircus (goat). Its description in RNAcentral is "lncRNA (ENSCHIG00010016997.1)". The record is from RNAcentral. Lineage: Eukaryota; Metazoa; Chordata; Mammalia; Artiodactyla; Bovidae.
GCGUGUUAUAACCUUUGAUUCUCUAUAAGUGAUCCUAAAUUCUAUGUAAUAAAUAUUGUUUCUGCUCUGCCUGAAAUUAUGAAAAAUAAUAAGUGGAAGAUAGGAUAUGACUUUGAAAUGAUUUGAAAAUAAAAUAGAAAUAAUGGAAAUGUGUUAAAACUGAAAGGAGAUAUGUAAAAAAAACAAGCACUAUAUUGCGAUGUUUACAAUUUGCUACAUUUUUGUCUAUUUCUAGAAAACUGAUACACUAGAGUUGUUCACUGAGAUGAAAGACAAAGAGAAGACAGAGGAAAGAAUCACACUACAAGAGGAAAGUGUUCGAAUUCCAUGCAACAUUCAAAACGAAAGACAAAAAAGACAGUUCUGUGCAAGUAAGCAAAAGACUUAAAUAAUAUUUUAUCUAGCAAUCAUAUUUGGGUAAUCUAGGACCCACCAUGCAGCUAAUUCAAGGGAGCACCCUCUUUGGAAGAUGAGGUAUUACAUAAUGGCAUUCUCCAGUGCUCUGAAAACAGAACCCAGGAGGACAUGAUUCUAUGCAGAAACUCUCAAAGAGACUAGGAUAAAGGAUAAAAUGGGCAUUCCUGAUCCGUAUCUGCUCACUUGGAACAUCUCCCCCGCUAACUUUAGAGGUAUACAAGUCCCAUGAGUAGAUACAGGCAGCCCAAGAAAGUGUUUUUUAUCCCACUUGCUUGACUGAGAGCAUAUAUUCAUUAUCUGCAUAGUUGUUCCAACAUUAAUGAUCAAUAUUUAAAUAAGAAAGCUCAAUAUUUAACAGAGCUUCACAUUUUACAAAGGCAAUCCCUCUGAUUUGAUUAAAAAAAAAAAAAGUAAAAUCUUGGAAUCUCACUUUCCAAAUCUGAUGGCAUAAUACACUUUGGUCAUGCAAGCGUAAAGCCGCUUAUUAAUUGUACCUCUGCGUUUUAAGAACUCUCUCUACUUAGAUGGCUGUGAAUGCAUGCCAAGUCGGUUUAGUCCUGUCCAACUCUUUGUGACCCUAUGGACUGUAGCCUGCCAGGCACCUCUGUNNNNNNNNNNNNNNNNNNNNNNNNNNNNNNNNNNNNNNNNNNNNNNNNNNNNNNNNNNNNNNNNNNNNNNNNNNNNNNNNNNNNNNNNNNNNNNNNNNNGUCCAACUCUUUGUGACCCUAUGGACUGUAGCCUGCCAGGCACCUCUGUCUAUGGGAUUCUCCAGGCAAUGGAGGAUUGCCAUGUACUCCUCCAGGGGAUGGUCCCAACCCAGGGAUCGAACCUACAUCUCUUUACGUCUCCUGCAUUGCAAGUGGAUACUUUACCACUAGCACCCACUCAGAUGGCUACAUGGCACCAGCUACCCACUAAGAGGAUGAUAGGAGGAGGAGAACUAUGCAGUCUAAGCAGAAUAACCCCAGAGUUUCUUAAUGACGCCAUGAGAGUCAAAAUUAAGUACUUUCAUAGUUGCCUGCAGCUUAAGUUAAAAAACAUUGUGAGAUAGAGGCGCAAACCCAGCAGUCCAUCCGGGCAGUUACACCAGGAAGAACACCUGGUCCAACUUCUGACUCAAACUAGAUAUAAAACAGAGAAUUGUAAACAUCUUAGAACAGAGGGAAUUCAGAGCUGGAAAUAACAACAAAGAGCGUAUCUUAGUUUUAUAAAGAGAAAGCACUGUCCAAAAAUGGAGAAGCAAUUUAAAUUUUCUGCGGUACAUUUAUUUCUCAGGAAAGUUGCUUCCAACUGAGAGCAUUCGCUCCUUCACAGACUGUGCUCAGUGGCUCCAAUACAUUCCAGCCCACAAAUACCUGUAAUGAUUGCAGACUACAGACAACCACAAAAAGGCAUCAAAAAAGACAAGGAAAAAAAAAAAAAGACCAAAGGAAGAUACUUAAUGAAAAAGAUUUGAGCGAUAUAUGACACUGGUUUUCUUAUUUUCAUGUAAAGUGAAUGAUACCACUGAAGUUCAAAGCUGUUCGCUUUUCCCAGAAACCCAAUUUCGAAUUCUUUCAAAGAGGAACACUUUGAAAAGACUGAAACAACAAGGAACAAAAGAAAUUCAUACAUGAGGAAUGUGCUUUCAGAAACAGUCUCUAAACUGAAAUCUGUGGGAACCCUACGUAUUUAAUUGAGGACAGUAAAUUGUUCUAAUUAGAAAUAUCUUGUAAGUGAUGAAGACAGUUCAGCAGCUAACAGCCCUCUUAGGUCUUUGCCAUUAAAAGAACCUUAAUAAACUCUAACUGUCUUGCCACCUCUAUAUCCAGCUCACAAGAAAUGCUCCAAGUAAAACCAGUGAUUGUGGUAGGUGAUGUUUGCAAGCAUUUAUAACUAGGAAUGAAGGGAGCAGACAAGAAGGAUAACUACUUCAUGCGGAUGCUUUCCAAAUUUCCUGGAUGUUAAAAAUUGCCUGAAGUAAUUUUUUAAAAUAUAAAAUUCUGCAAGGAGUUAUGGUUACAAACACAAGUUCCUGUUAAAAUUACCACUAAUCUAAGAGUCACUGACUAAUAAACCCCCCAAGAAGGAAUAGGAAGUUGCAUGCUCAGGGACCCAAAGAAUAAUUAUCAACAUGAUAAUCUUGGAAAUAAGUGAUACCAAUAAUGGAACAUUUCAUGCAAAGAUGGGAACAAUAAAGGACAGAAAUUAUAUGGACCUAAUAGAAGCAGAAGAUAUUAAGAAGAGGU